ACCUAUACCCGGCCGUCGG
Molecule: small nuclear RNA, 19 nt
Filed under: Arabidopsis thaliana (thale cress)
Lineage: Eukaryota; Viridiplantae; Streptophyta; Magnoliopsida; Brassicales; Brassicaceae
Description: snRNA_00198
Source: RNAcentral